This 357-nucleotide long non-coding RNA is filed under the name Homo sapiens (human). Its description in RNAcentral is "non-protein coding lnc-CCAR1-4:1". The record is from RNAcentral. Lineage: Eukaryota; Metazoa; Chordata; Mammalia; Primates; Hominidae.
AUGGCCUCCACGCCGGAGCCCGGUGAGCCCGAGGAGAGGAAGUCCCUUAAGCUCCUAGGAUUUUUAGAUGUUGAAAAUACUCCCUGCGCCCGGCAUUCAAUAUUGUAUGGUUCAUUAGGAUCUGUUGUGGCUGGCUUUGGACAUUUUUUGUUCACUAGUAGAAUUAGAAGAUCAUGUGAUGUUGGAGUAGGGGGGUUUAUCUUGGUGACUUUGGGAUGCUGGUUUCACUGUAGGUAUAAUUAUGCAAGGCAAAGAAUCCAGGAAAGAAUUGCCAGAGAAGAAAUUAAAAAGAAGAUAUUAUAUGAAGGUACCCACCUCGAUCCUGAAAGAAAACACAACGGCGGCAGCAGCAAUUGA